GGACCUCGGGAUGCAUGUUCCGGGGUGGAAAGGUUUUCCGGUGCAGGAUGGGCCCGCGGCCUAUCAGCUUGUUGGUGGGGUAACGGCCCACCAAGGCGACGACGGGUAGCCGGCCUGAGAGGCGACCGGCCACACUGGGACUGAGACACGGCCCAGACUCCUACGGGAGGCAGCAGUGGGGAACAUUGCACAAUGGGCGCAAGCCUGAUGCAGCGACGCCGCGUGAGGGAUGACGGCCUUCGGGUUGUAAACCUCUUUCAGUACCGACGAAGCGCAAGUGACGGUAGGUACAGAAGAAGCACCGGCCAACUACGUGCCAGCAGCCGCGGUAAUACGUAGGGUCGCGAGCGUUGUCCGGAAUUACUGGGCGUAAAGAGCUCGUAGGCGGUUUGUCGCGUCGUCUGUGAAAACCCGCAGCUCAACGCGGGCUUGCAGACGAUACGGGCAGACUUGAGUACUGCAGGGGAGACUGGAAUUCCUGGUGUAGCGGUGAAAUGCGCAGAUAUCAGGAGGAACACCGGUGGCGAAGGCGGGUCUCUGGGAGUAACUGACGCUGAGGAGCGAAAGCGUGGGUAGCGAACAGGAUUAGAUACCCUGGUAGUCCACGCCGUAAACGGUGGGCGCUAGGUGUGGGUUUCCUUCCACGGGAUCCGUGCCGUAGCUUACGCAUUAAGCGCCCCGCCUGGGGAGUACGGCCGCAAGGCUAAAACUCAAAGGAAUUGACGGGGGCCCGCACAAGCGGCGGAGCAUGUGGAUUAAUUCGAUGCAACGCGAAGAACCUUACCUUGGUUUGACAUACACCGGACCGCCCCAGAGAUGGGGUUUCCCUUCUGGUCGGUGUACAGGUGGUGCAUGGCUGUCGUCAGCUCGUGGUCGUGAGAUGUUGGGUUAAGUCCCGCACCGAGCGCAACCCUUGUCCUGUGUUGCCAGCAAGUAAUGGUGGGGACUCGCAGGAGACUUCCGGGGUCAACUCGGAGGAAGGUGGGGACGACGUCAAGUCAUCAUGCCCCUUAUGUCCAGGGCUUCACACAUGCUACAAUGGCCGGUACAGAAGGGCUGCGAUACCGCGAGGUGGAGCGAAUCCCUUUAAGCCGGUCUCAGUUCGGAUCGGGGUCUGCAACUCGACCCCGUGAAGUCGGAGUCGCUAGUAAUCGCAGAUCAGCAACGCUGCGGUGAAUACGUUCCCGGGCCCUGUACACACCGCCCGUCACGUCAUGAAAGUCGGUAACACCCGAAGCCGGUGGCCUAACCCCUCGUGGGAGGGAGCCGUCGA
This 1273-nucleotide ribosomal RNA is filed under the name Rhodococcus ruber. RNAcentral describes it as "bacterial SSU rRNA". It matches the Rfam family "Bacterial small subunit ribosomal RNA", at positions 173 to 1459 of the family's 1533-position model. The record is from RNAcentral. Lineage: Bacteria; Bacillati; Actinomycetota; Actinomycetes; Mycobacteriales; Nocardiaceae.